AUGUGGAUGAACUGCAGGAUCAAAACUUUCCAUUCCAAUUGGAAUAACAAGAAAAGUCAUCUCACGCGCUGGGACACACUUUGGUUUCAUCAGCUGCCUUCUUUUGAUCUGCAAGAUAUACAAGGCUUCCAGAAUCAAACAGUCAUUUGUGGCUUCCCUAGUAUUCUCCGACUUACUGACUGCUCACCAAAGCACAGAGUGCUCUUAGCUGUCUCUGUGCAAUUUCCUGGCUAAAGGAGAUCUGGAAUGUAAAAGUGUAUUCAUCACCAGAGGUUUUGCAAGAUUCCAGGACUUCAAUGAAGCGGGAAGAGAUUAUUUAAAAUUGGAAUGGCAUGAAGGUUCCUCUGAGUUCUCAACCAACUUUUAGGGUAACUUAACUAACAAGUAAGUAACCCAUAAGAAGAACCAGAAUUAUCUGGGAUUUAAGCAUAAAUAAAAAAAAAAUGCACCAAGUUGUAACUACUGUUAUAACUGUACCAGACAGAUCCUGACCCUUUACUGUGAGCUUCUCAGUAUAGAAAUGGAGGACUUAGUGGCAUGUGGGAAUGUGUACAGUAUGAUGCCUUAACCAUUUAUCAGGAGUGAAACAACUGCAUAUAGUCAAAUACUGAGAAAUGUUUUUGCAUAAGCUGGAUUUUCAACUUCAGUGCUAAGAUCAAAAACAGUGUAACCCAGAGACAGCUUUACUAAGAUGGUGACCCUGGAUCUUACUCCUGUAUUUGAACUCAUUCUAGGCAAAGAAAGCUUUUUCCAGGAUGGUAGGAGGUGCAUGUCCAUGGUAAAUAUGCAUCAGAGGUAAUGUGCUAUCUGUAUACAUUUUGGAAAUUAUUUUAACUUCUGUUGUGAUAGGUAUUGCAUACCAUCUAACAUCAGGAUAUGUAAGAUAGGAACCAGAUGCUGCUCUGUGCUAGUCAGGUGUUCUGGCCUUUUUUUUAAAUUUAUUUUUUACUUUGCUUUUCUGGCACUAAAACUUACUGAGGAAAUGAAAGAUUGUUGCUGUCAUGCUUUUGUGUGUUUGUUUAGCAAAAACAUUUAUGCACCAUAGAUUUGUAUCCAGAAAUACAUUCCUCACUGCUUUAGUGUACUGUAUUAUCUGGACAAAAUGAAAAGGAAAUAGUUGUGAUUCAAAAGAGUUUUACAUACACUUUGCAGAGCUGUACAAACUUACAUGUUCGGUAGGGCAGUGUCUUCUUCACUUCACACCAAUAUAACAACAUUACUCAACUGGAUUGACUUCUGAUUUACUGGGUGAGAAACCUCCAAGGAGUAGUGUGCUGGCCCAUCAUCACCUUCAGUUUUGCUUGCUGGUGCUUGCUGUUUCUGCAUCUUCACAGCCAGAUAUUUGGCUGAGGAACUUUGUGUGUUGUAUAACUAUAGGACUCCAUUUUUCUUUUUGUCUUUUUCCUUUCCCUGCUACUAAGACCUAGAGAUCUGUAAUUAGUUUUCAAGUCAUUCAUGAACUCUGGUUUCUUCCAUGUAGGCUGAGUCCAAUUUGUCUCUGUUUGCUUGAGCACAUUAAAUGACUGAACAGGUUAAUGCAGGUGACUGAGUGGGCACAUCCUAACAAGUUACUGUCCCUCAGCUAAGCUUCAGCUCCUGUGAUUUCACAUGCUCUUGUGUUUCUCCUGCAUCAUGUCAGCCAAGGUAUUUGGGGAUCUGAUCUGGCUAAAAACACCUAGAAAACUUCCAGGUGGACCAGUUCUUUGAUCCCUUCUAUUACAUAGCUGCACAAAGAGCUGUGUUGGCACAGUGCAGGGAGUAGCUCAGGAACAGAGAUGCACAGCAGAGUAAGAACUAUUGAUAUUGGUGCUGCUGACAAAGAAGAAAUCACCAGGCUGUGCCCUACGGCAGCUGUACUGCUUGUUCUGCUGUGUGUCUGAAGGGAAGGAAAAUGCAGUUCUUAUGUGAUCACUGCAAAAUUGAUUAUUCAGCAGAGUUGGUCUUUGAGGCUGGGAUCUGGUGCCAGGCUUCUUCCCACAGAACACAGGAGACCCUUCUGAGGUGUAAGAAAUCCCCUUUUUCCUCCAUACUGGAAAAGGGCCAUCUGACUUUAACCUGGGCACAAGCUAAGAUGGACCCUUUGCCUGAAAACCCCUGAACACUUAGCUCUGAGUGCUUAGAAAUGCAAAUAAAAUUAUUUACAUUUCCCUCAUUCCUUUCUCAAGUACCAAAUUCUGGUUUGCAGUGGUAGCUUUCUAUCCUAUUCUUAUGCUGUUCAUGGGCAUCUUCCUCCUUUCAUUUAGGAGCUCCCUCUGAAACAUCCAGCAAUAGUUUCAGGCAAAGGAGCCUUGAACUUUGGGUAAAUUCAGAAACUUAGAAAACUCUAAGUACUGUAAUUCCUGGGUAUCUCAUUAGAAUUGCACAUUACUACAGAGUAGGAAAAUAGCAAAAUGUAAGGGUUCUUAAAGUUUUGGUGGGAUCCCUUGGCAGCAAAUAUACAAAGGUUUAAUUGAAAGAAUUUCUGAACCAAGUUAACCUGUGUAUUGAUUGUCCCCUCUCAGUUGUCUCAUCUCAAGGCUGAACAUGCCCAGCUCCCUCAGCCUUUCCUCAUGAGAGAGAUGCUCCUGUCCCCUCAUGAUAUUUGUAGCUCUUUGGGCAAAAACUGUAGUUAAAAAACCCACUCCAGGAGCUCUGUGUGGUCACAGCACUGCAGAUGGACCUCACCAGGGCUCAGCAGAGUGCAGUACACCAGGUGUAUAUGGACCAGGCCUUGGGUCAACCACUGCAAUUACCUGAGUUAUCCAUUCUCCGUGUGGUUGAAUGAACGUAUUUGGUAAAACAUCUCAUCAAAUAGGCAUGUUUAUGGAGUAUUUUGGGCUGUUCUCUUGCCUGGCUUCAAAAUUUAUUUUUUAAAAUUGUCAGGGUGCAGCCACGUUUCAGAAAAGGCUUUGGGAUUUCAAGCAUGGUACAAAAGGAAGUCACUCCUCAGCUCUCAGUUCAGGGCCAGAGGGUUUUAGCUCCAGCUUUGAUGGAGCCCCCUUUGUGGAUCCAGCAUUUAAGCUGAGCUGCAUGGUUUUUGCGUCAGUUCCUCCCCUCCAGCAAUAGUACUGUAAGCUCCCAUGUAUCUCUGGGAUUCUUGACACAGUCUGAUCCUGUCUUUGAAGUGAGGUGACUGAUACAUAUUACCC
This 3128-nucleotide long non-coding RNA is filed under the name Ficedula albicollis (Collared flycatcher). RNAcentral describes it as "lncRNA (ENSFALG00000028998.1)". Lineage: Eukaryota; Metazoa; Chordata; Aves; Passeriformes; Muscicapidae. The record is from RNAcentral.